RNAcentral lists this ribosomal RNA (427 nucleotides) under uncultured bacterium. RNAcentral describes it as "bacterial SSU rRNA". It matches the Rfam family "Bacterial small subunit ribosomal RNA", at positions 355 to 774 of the family's 1533-position model. The record is from RNAcentral.
UAGGGAAUAUUGGACAAUGGGGGCAACCCUGAUCCAGCCAUGCCGCGUGAGUGAAGAAGGCCCUCGGGUUGUAAAGCUCUUUUGUCCGGAAAGAAAAGCAUUCGGUGAAUACCCGGAUGUUCUGACGGUACCGGAAGAAUAAGCACCGGCUAACUUCGUGCCAGCAGCCGCGGUAAUACGGGGGGUGCAAGCGUUACUCGGAAUCACUGGGCGUAAAGGGAGCGUAGGCGUUUUAUUAAGUCUUGAGUGAAAGCUCGCAGCUCAACUGCGGAACUGCUCAGGAAACUGAUAGAAUUGAGUAUGGAAGAGGUAGGUGGAAUUUCCGGUGUAGGGGUAAAAUCCGUAGAUAUCGGAAGGAAUACCAGAAGCGAAGGCGACCUACUGGGACAUUACUGACGCUGAGGCUCGAAAGCGUGGGGAGCAAACA